RNAcentral lists this ribosomal RNA (901 nucleotides) under uncultured archaeon. RNAcentral describes it as "bacterial SSU rRNA". It matches the Rfam family "Archaeal small subunit ribosomal RNA", at positions 19 to 928 of the family's 1478-position model. The record is from RNAcentral.
AGAGGCCACUGCUAUCAGAGUUCGAUUAAGCCAUGCGAGUUGAGAGGUGCAAGACCUCGGCAUACUGCUCAGUAACACGUGGACAACCUACCCUACAGAAGGGGAUAACCCCGGGAAACUGGGGAUAAUACCCUAUAGACUAUGGAUGCUGGAAUGCUCCGUAGUUGAAAGGUCCGCCGCUGUAGGAUGGGUCUGCGGCCGAUUAGGUUGUUGUUGGGGUAACGGCCCAACAAGCCUGUAAUCGGUACGGGUUGUGGGAGCAAGAGCCCGGAGAUGGAUUCUGAGACACGAAUCCAGGCCCUACGGGGCGCAGCAGGCGCGAAAACUUUACAAUGCGGGAAACCGUGAUAAGGGAACUCUGAGUGCCCGUAAAAUCGGGCUGUCCAUCAGUUUAAAUAACUGGUGAAGAAAGGGCCGGGCAAGACCGGUGCCAGCCGCCGCGGUAAUACCGGCGGCUCGAGUGGUGGCCACUAUUACUGGGCUUAAAGCGUUCGUAGCUGGUUUGUUAAGUCUCUGGGGAAAUCUUCCGGCUUAACCGGAAGGCGUCUCAGGGAUACUGGCAGACUAGGGACCGGAAGAGGUGAGAGGUACUCCAGGGGUAGGAGUGAAAUCCUGUAAUCCUUGGGGGACCACCUGUGGCGAAGGCGUCUCACCAGAACGGCUCCGACAGUGAGGGACGAAAGCUGGGGGAGCAAACCGGAUUAGAUACCCGGGUAGUCCCAGCCGUAAACGAUGUGCAUUAGGUGUAUCGGUGACCACGAGUCACCGAGGUGCCGAAGAGAAAUCGUGAAAUGCACCGCCUGGGAAGUACGGUCGCAAGGCUGAAACUUAAAGGAAUUGGCGGGGGAGCACCACAACGGGUGGAGCUUGCGGUUUAAUUGGAUUCAACGCCGGAAAUCUU